RNAcentral lists this long non-coding RNA (555 nucleotides) under Mytilus galloprovincialis (Mediterranean mussel). The record is from RNAcentral. Lineage: Eukaryota; Metazoa; Mollusca; Bivalvia; Mytilida; Mytilidae.
AAAAAGAUAUAAUUAGAAAGACUAUAAUGUUAUGUAACUUUUGAUAUAUAAGUAUUAGAUGUGAAAAUCUUCUUAUUUGACACUUAACGAUAUAAAUAAGGUUUGACAGCUUAAACUCUUAGAAGUAUUUCCUUUAGCAAAUAUAUCUAAUUCUUUUCUAUUGUUCACUUAGAAUUCUAUCUAACCAAAUAAUCGGAUUUCCCUAAUGGUCGUAAACACAAAGUAUUAAGUAAUUAAAAAUAGUAACCCCAAAUUAUGUAAAAAUGUAAAUUAGAUAAAAAGAGAUCUAACCAAUAGAAACUGUCGUUAUAAAAAUAAGUAUUCUAAAAGUCAUUUUGAUUGGUGAAUAAAACAAGUCCAACCAGCACGUGUUCUUAGGGUUUAAAAUAGGAAACCCUAAGGAAUCAAACAUUAAUUUACUCGUAUGGUUGGACUCGAAAUAAACAUAUAUAGACAUCUUUGUUUUAUUCACCAGGUUCGUAAACUUACAAAUGUUGUUUAAUGAAAAGCAUAACGUAACCUUAAUAAUGUUUUAAUGUAGCAAUUUUAUAACAG